CCUACGGGAGGCUGCAGUGGGGAAUAUUGGACAAUGGGCGAAAGCCUGAUCCAGCCAUGCCGCGUGUGUGAAUAAGGCCUUCGGGUUGUAAAGCACUUUCAGUGGGGAAGAAAGCCUUGGGGCUAAUACCCUCGAGGAAGGACAUCACCCACAGAAGAAGCACCGGCUAACUCCGUGCCAGCAGCCGCGGUAAUACGGAGGGUGCGAGCGUUAAUCGGAAUUACUGGGCGUAAAGCGCGCGUAGGCGGUCUGAUAAGCCGGUUGUGAAAGCCCCGGGCUCAACCUGGGAACGGCAUCCGGAACUGUCAGGCUAGAGUGCAGGAGAGGAAGGUAGAAUUCCCGGUGUAGCGGUGAAAUGCGUAGAGAUCGGGAGGAAUACCAGUGGCGAAGGCGGCCUUCUGGACUGACACUGACGCUGAGGUGCGAAAGCGUGGGUAGCAAACAGGAUUAGAUACCCCUGUAGUC
This 465-nucleotide ribosomal RNA is filed under the name Vreelandella stevensii. RNAcentral describes it as "partial 16S ribosomal RNA". It matches the Rfam family "Bacterial small subunit ribosomal RNA", at positions 338 to 795 of the family's 1533-position model. The record is from RNAcentral. Lineage: Bacteria; Pseudomonadati; Pseudomonadota; Gammaproteobacteria; Oceanospirillales; Halomonadaceae.